This is a non-coding RNA of Mycena galericulata, 102 nucleotides long. The record is from the annotation of a GenBank genome assembly. Lineage: Eukaryota; Fungi; Basidiomycota; Agaricomycetes; Agaricales; Mycenaceae.
AGCAUCGUAGCACAGUUGGAAGUGCGCCAGUCUCAUAUAUAUUCCCAUAACAGGGAAACAUGAGGAAUUUGGAGGUCGCUUGAUCGAAACAAGCCGGUGCUA